CGGGGGGCUGCAGUGGGGGAUAUUGCACAAUGGGGGGAACCCUGAUGCAGCGACGCCGCGUGGGUGAAGGAGCGUUUCGGCGCGUAAAGCCCUAUCGGCAGGGAAGAACGGUCACUGUGCUAAUCAGCAGUGAAUUGACGGUACCUGCAAAGGAAGCACCGGCUAACUCCGUGCCAGCAGCCGCGGUAAUACGGAGGGUGCGAGCGUUAAUCGGAAUUACUGGGGGUAAAGCGCUCGUAGGCGGUAUGUCAAGUCAAGGGUGAAAUCCCCGCGCUCAACGUGGGAACUGCCUUUGAAACUGGCAAACUGGAGUGUGUGAGAGGAUAGUGGAAGUCCAGGUGUAGGAGUGAAAGCCGUAGAUAUCUGGAGGAACAUCAGUGGCGAAGGCGACUAUCUGGCACAUAACUGACGCUGAGGAGCGAAAGCGUGGGUAGCAAACAGGAUUAGAUACCCUAGUAGUC
This 461-nucleotide ribosomal RNA is filed under the name uncultured bacterium. Its description in RNAcentral is "partial 16S ribosomal RNA". It matches the Rfam family "Bacterial small subunit ribosomal RNA", at positions 342 to 795 of the family's 1533-position model. The record is from RNAcentral.